This 76-nucleotide transfer RNA is filed under the name Candidatus Adiutrix sp. RNAcentral describes it as "tRNA-Phe". It matches the Rfam family "tRNA". Rfam says of the family: Transfer RNA (tRNA) molecules are approximately 80 nucleotides in length. Their secondary structure includes four short double-helical elements and three loops (D, anti-codon, and T loops). Lineage: Bacteria; Pseudomonadati; Thermodesulfobacteriota; Desulfarculia; Candidatus Adiutricales; Candidatus Adiutricaceae. The record is from RNAcentral.
GCCGAGGUAGCUCAGUCGGUAGAGCACUAGACUGAAAAUCUGGGUGUCGGCGGUCCGAUUCCGUCCCUCGGCACCA